This 868-nucleotide ribosomal RNA is filed under the name Escherichia coli. RNAcentral's name for it is "partial 23S ribosomal RNA". It matches the Rfam family "Bacterial large subunit ribosomal RNA", at positions 361 to 1232 of the family's 2925-position model. Lineage: Bacteria; Pseudomonadati; Pseudomonadota; Gammaproteobacteria; Enterobacterales; Enterobacteriaceae. The record is from RNAcentral.
AGGGUGACAGCCCCGUACACAAAAAUGCACAUGCUGUGAGCUCGAUGAGUAGGGCGGGACACGUGGUAUCCUGUCUGAAUAUGGGGGGACCAUCCUCCAAGGCUAAAUACUCCUGACUGACCGAUAGUGAACCAGUACCGUGAGGGAAAGGCGAAAAGAACCCCGGCGAGGGGAGUGAAAAAGAACCUGAAACCGUGUACGUACAAGCAGUGGGAGCACGCUUAGGCGUGUGACUGCGUACCUUUUGUAUAAUGGGUCAGCGACUUAUAUUCUGUAGCAAGGUUAACCGAAUAGGGGAGCCGAAGGGAAACCGAGUCUUAACUGGGCGUUAAGUUGCAGGGUAUAGACCCGAAACCCGGUGAUCUAGCCAUGGGCAGGUUGAAGGUUGGGUAACACUAACUGGAGGACCGAACCGACUAAUGUUGAAAAAUUAGCGGAUGACUUGUGGCUGGGGGUGAAAGGCCAAUCAAACCGGGAGAUAGCUGGUUCUCCCCGAAAGCUAUUUAGGUAGCGCCUCGUGAAUUCAUCUCCGGGGGUAGAGCACUGUUUCGGCAAGGGGGUCAUCCCGACUUACCAACCCGAUGCAAACUGCGAAUACCGGAGAAUGUUAUCACGGGAGACACACGGCGGGUGCUAACGUCCGUCGUGAAGAGGGAAACAACCCAGACCGCCAGCUAAGGUCCCAAAGUCAUGGUUAAGUGGGAAACGAUGUGGGAAGGCCCAGACAGCCAGGAUGUUGGCUUAGAAGCAGCCAUCAUUUAAAGAAAGCGUAAUAGCUCACUGGUCGAGUCGGCCUGCGCGGAAGAUGUAACGGGGCUAAACCAUGCACCGAAGCUGCGGCAGCGACGCUGAUGCGUUGUUGGGUAGG